Molecule: long non-coding RNA, 739 nt
Organism: Nomascus leucogenys (northern white-cheeked gibbon)
Lineage: Eukaryota; Metazoa; Chordata; Mammalia; Primates; Hylobatidae
Exons: 3
Source: RefSeq, a predicted model, not a curated record
AAGGAGUGAAGCCUUCUAAGUACAGUACCUGGCACAACGAAUUGUCAAGCAAACGGCAAAUCUUCUCUGCAGAGGGGAGCUGAGACUCAGUACCCACAAUCCACUCUGGAGUCUCCUUAUAAUCCUGAAGAGGGAAGCCCAGAGGAAAUCAUCUGAUCUAACCAUAAAAUCAUCAAUAGUGACAAAUUAAAAGGGGAACAUGUCAGGCCUCACUCUUUCUGUACUGGCUUUCAAGAGUAUUGUCUUUGAGGGAAGUCCAUCUCCUUCUUGAUACCAUGGCUACCCUUAGACCCCUCGUGAAGCCCAAGAUCAUCAAAAAUGGACCAAGAAGUUUAUCCUUCACCAGUCAGACUGACAUAUCAAAAUUAGAUGUAUGCAUAUAGCAGCAACCCAGAGGCAUUGACAACAGGGUGUGGAGAAAAAUCAAAAGCAAGACCUUGACCCCCAACAUUGGUUGUGGGAGCAAAAAGAAGCAAAACACAAGCUCCCCAGUGGCUUCCAAAAAUUCCUGUUCCAUGAUGUCAAAGAGCUGGAAGUGCUGCUGAUGUGCAACAAAUCUUACUGUGCUGAGAUUGCUCAACAUGCUUCUCCAAGAACAGUUAAAGCCACUGUGGAGAGAGUAGCCCGACAGCCCACCAGAGUCACUAGUCCCAAUGCCAGGCUGCACAGCAAGAAAAAUUAAUAGACAGCUCAUGUACACAUUUUAUUUGUGUUAAAUAAAACCAUAAAUACUCUGUCA